CGAACGAAGAGUUUGAUCCUGGCUCAGGAUGAACGCUGACAGAAUGCUUAACACAUGCAAGUCGACUCGAGUCUUCGGACUUGGGUGGCGCACGGGUGAGUAACGCGUAAAGAACUUGCCUCUUAGACCGGGACAACAUCUGGAAACGGAUGCUAAUACCGGAUAUUAUGGUUUUUUCGCAUGGAGGAAUCAUGAAAGCUAGAUGCGCUAAGAGAGAGCUUUGCGUCCCAUUAGCUGGUUGGUGAGGUAACGGCCCACCAAGGCAAUGAUGGGUAGCCGGCCUGAGAGGGUGAACGGCCACAAGGGGACUGAGACACGGCCCUUACUCCUACGGGAGGCAGCAGUGGGGAAUAUUGGACAAUGGACCACAAGUCUGAUCCAGCAAUUCUGUGUGCACGAUGACGUUUUUCGGAAUGUAAAGUGCUUUCAGUCGGGAAGAAGUCAGUGACGGUACCGACAGAAGAAGCGACGGCUAAAUACGUGCCAGCAGCCGCGGUAAUACGUAUGUCGCAAGCGUUAUCCGGAUUUAUUGGGCGUAAAG
Molecule: ribosomal RNA, 541 nt
Filed under: Fusobacterium necrophorum
Lineage: Bacteria; Fusobacteriati; Fusobacteriota; Fusobacteriia; Fusobacteriales; Fusobacteriaceae
Description: bacterial SSU rRNA
Rfam family: Bacterial small subunit ribosomal RNA
Source: RNAcentral